This 76-nucleotide transfer RNA is filed under the name Flavobacteriales bacterium. Its description in RNAcentral is "tRNA-Thr". It matches the Rfam family "tRNA". From Rfam's summary of the family: Transfer RNA (tRNA) molecules are approximately 80 nucleotides in length. Their secondary structure includes four short double-helical elements and three loops (D, anti-codon, and T loops). Lineage: Bacteria; Pseudomonadati; Bacteroidota; Flavobacteriia; Flavobacteriales. The record is from RNAcentral.
GCCGGCAUAGCUCAGUUGGUAGAGCAGUUGAUUUGUAAUCAUCAGGCCCCGUGUUCGAUCCAUGGUGCCGGCACCA